CCUACGGUGAGCAGCAGUGAGGAAUAUUGGUCAAUGGGCGCGAGCCUGAACCAGCCAAGUAGCGUGAAGGAUGACUGCCCUACGGGUUGUAAACUUCUUUUAUAAAGGAAUAAAGUGAUCCACGUGUGCCUUUUUGCAUGUACUUUAUGAAUAAGGAUCGGCUAAGUCCGUGCCAGCAGCCGCGGUAAUACGGAGGAUCCGAGCGUUAUCCGGAUUUAUUGGGUUUAAAGGGAGCGUAGAUGGGUUGUUAAGUCGGUUGUGAAAUUCGGCGGCUCAACCGAUACAUUACUAUUAAUACUGGCGGCAGUGAGUGCAGGUGGGGCAGCUGGAAUUCG
This 335-nucleotide ribosomal RNA is filed under the name uncultured bacterium. RNAcentral's name for it is "partial 16S ribosomal RNA". It matches the Rfam family "Bacterial small subunit ribosomal RNA", at positions 338 to 670 of the family's 1533-position model. The record is from RNAcentral.